Molecule: ribosomal RNA, 486 nt
Filed under: uncultured bacterium
Lineage: Bacteria
Description: bacterial SSU rRNA
Rfam family: Bacterial small subunit ribosomal RNA
Source: RNAcentral
GCUUAACACAUGCAAGUCGAGGGGUAACAGGGAGAAGCUUGCUUUUCCGCUGACGACCGGCGCACGGGUGCGUAACGCGUAUACAAUCUGCCUUAUACUGGGGUAUAGCCUUUAGAAAUGAAGAUUAAUCCCCCAUAGUCUCUUAGAGUGGCAUCAUUUUAGGAGUAAAGGUUACGGUAUAAGAUGAGUAUGCGUUCUAUUAGUUUGUUGGUGAGGUAACGGCUCACCAAGGCUACGAUAGAUAGGGGCCCUGAGAGGGGGAUCCCCCACACUGGUACUGAGACACGGACCAGACUCCUACGGGAGGCAGCAGUGAGGAAUAUUGGACAAUGGAGGCAACUCUGAUCCAGCCAUGCCGCGUGCAGGAAGACUGCCCUAUGGGUUGUAAACUGCUUUUAUAUAGGAAGAAACCUACUUACGUGUAAGUAGCUGACGGUACUAUAAGAAUAAGGAUCGGCUAACUCCGUGCCAGCCGCCGCGGUAAUA